AGAAGGUCUUUUCAAAUCAUCUCAUUCCCAGCUUGAGCUCUGAGAACUUCCAAGAAGAGUAAGAAGAAAACCUAAGUAUGGAUGGGCAUAGGAGCCCUGGGAGUGGCAGCACUCCUCCAAAUCACCGGUCCUGCUUCCAGUCAUCAUCCAGGGAAGCAGCUCCUAUGAAGAAGGGACUACCCACCCUCAUGGACUGCCAAACACCUACCACCCACAGGGCAGGUAGGCAAGACAGCUUACCUGAAGGGGCAGGGCACCCUGAGGAAGAGAUAGGAGGCAGCAUGUGCCAGGAAAAUCCAACCACCACCACCUGGAUCGAGUCUCCCCUCAGACGCUGAUGAAGACAGACCUGGACCUUGAAAGCAUGAGCUUUGGAAAUAGCAGUCCUUCUAGCCCAAUGUCCUCAGCCAUCACCCUGGGAAGCAACCCCUGUGGAGAUACAGUCUGGCAACUGCUUCUGCAGGUGCUACAGCCACAGCUUUGGAAGAUCUGAAAAAAGAAAGUAUCUGUCACCAUGUCCUUGGAAUUGUCACAUGGUUAAACUUUAGAAAACGAUAUUAUUUUUAUCAGUGGAAAUGACAGUAAAGAGGUUUUGCUUCUGCACUUGAAGGACCAUGGGAGCUUUCUAUCUGAUUUGCAGCUGGAACGUUGGGAUUGUCCUGCUUUCUUAUUUGUAUCCCUGGUGCAUAGCACAGUGGUUGGCAUAUAGUAAGCCCUUAAUAAAUGCUUCCUUCAUUCAUUCAUUGCUGACUCUCUGGGUUGGAGCAGGGAAAGGACACAGCAGUAAAUUUAGGUGAUGUAAAAACAGAAGAUAUCAAUAAAAUUCAUUUUUAAAAAAGUA
Phascolarctos cinereus (koala) is the source of this 841-nucleotide non-coding RNA. Lineage: Eukaryota; Metazoa; Chordata; Mammalia; Diprotodontia; Phascolarctidae. The record is from RefSeq and is a predicted model, not a curated record.